AACGCGAAGAACCUUACCUGGGUUUGACAUGGAUCGGGAGUGCUCAGAGAUGGGUGUGCCUCUUUUGGGGUCGGUUCACAGGUGGUGCAUGGCUGUCGUCAGCUCGUGUCGUGAGAUGUUGGGUUAAGUCCCGCAACGAGCGCAACCCUUGUUCACUGUUGCCAGCACGUUAUGGUGGGGACUCAGUGGAGACCGCCGGGGUCAACUCGGAGGAAGGUGGGGAUGACGUCAAGUCAUCAUGCCCCUUAUGUCCAGGGCUUCACGCAUGCUACAAUGGCUGGUACAGAGAGUGGCGAGCCUGUGAGGGUGAGCGAAUCUCGGAAAGCCGGUCUCAGUUCGGAUUGGGGUCUGCAACUCGACCUCAUGAAGUCGGAGUCGCUAGUAAUCGCAGAUCAGCAUCG
This 401-nucleotide ribosomal RNA is filed under the name uncultured Propionibacterium sp. Its description in RNAcentral is "bacterial SSU rRNA". It matches the Rfam family "Bacterial small subunit ribosomal RNA", at positions 958 to 1356 of the family's 1533-position model. Lineage: Bacteria; Bacillati; Actinomycetota; Actinomycetes; Propionibacteriales; Propionibacteriaceae. The record is from RNAcentral.